CCGGCGUAAAAUGUGGUUAACAUAUUAUUAUACUAAAGCUAAACAUCUUCAAAGCUGUUAUACCCACACGAAGACAGGAAAACCUUCUACGAAAGUGGCUUUAAAUAAUGCUAACCCACGAAAACUAGGAAA
This 132-nucleotide ribosomal RNA is filed under the name Luciogobius sp. 'ichimonji-mimizu-haze'. Its description in RNAcentral is "partial 12S ribosomal RNA". Lineage: Eukaryota; Metazoa; Chordata; Actinopteri; Gobiiformes; Gobiidae. The record is from RNAcentral.